ACUCAAAGGAAUUGACGGGGGCCCGCACAAGCAGCGGAGCGUGUGGUUUAAUUCGACGCAACGCGAAGAACCUUACCAGGGCUUGACAUGCUAUGUUCAGUCCGUGAAAGCGGAUGGCCCUUCGGGGCGAAUAGUGCAGGUGCUGCACGGCUGUCGUCAGCUCGUGCCGUGAGGUGUUGGGUUAAGUCCCGCAACGAGCGCAACCCCUGUCGCCAGUUGAAUGCUCUGGCGAGACUGCCGGUGGCAAGCCGGAGGAAGGCGGGGAUGACGUCAAGUCAGCGUGGCCCUUACGUCCUGGGCGACACACACGCUACAAUGGCCGGUACAGCGCGACGCCACCUCGCGAGAGGGAGCAAAUCGCCCAAAGCCGGCCCCAGUUCAGAUUGCAGGCUGAAACUCGCCUGCAUGAAGGCGGAGUUGCUAGUAACCGCGGGUCAGCACACCGCGGUGAAUACGUUCCCGGGCCUUGUACACACCGCCCGU
Molecule: ribosomal RNA, 483 nt
Filed under: uncultured bacterium
Lineage: Bacteria
Description: partial 16S ribosomal RNA
Rfam family: Bacterial small subunit ribosomal RNA
Source: RNAcentral